CUCAUUAAUUUUAAGCUCAGACUAUUGAAUCUUUCUCUUGAAUAUUGCCUGGAGGCUUUUCUCCAGUCUGUGCCAGCCUUCAUCAUUGCAGCAAACUCCUCAUAGCUUAUGCGCCCAUCCUUGUCUGUAUCAACAUCAUGCAUGAUGGCAUUGAUAACAUCCUCGCUACAGGUGUCAAUUUCAUCAUUUAAGGAUUCUCUCAACUCUUCGAUCUCUAUGUAACCACUCUGAUUUUGAUCAAAAAAGGCAAAAGCUUUAUGUAGGUGCUCAUCAUUGCCCAUCUUUUUAAUGUGAACUGAAACUGCAACAAACUCUCCAUAAUUCAGUGUUCCAUCACCAUCUACAUCAGCAGCAUCCAUUAGAAUUUGAAGAUCCGCAUCAGGAAUUGGCUGGCCAAGCCUUUGCAACCCAUUUCUAAGCUCCUCAAUGUUAAUCUUGCCUCUUUUGGUUGUGUCCAUCAUGUCAAAGGCCUCCUGUAAGCCAGCCACUUCCUCCACCGACAAAUGCUCAGC
RNAcentral lists this unclassified non-coding RNA (512 nucleotides) under Hevea brasiliensis (rubber tree). The record is from RNAcentral. Lineage: Eukaryota; Viridiplantae; Streptophyta; Magnoliopsida; Malpighiales; Euphorbiaceae.